RNAcentral lists this ribosomal RNA (256 nucleotides) under Salmonella enterica subsp. enterica serovar Muenchen. Its description in RNAcentral is "partial 23S ribosomal RNA". It matches the Rfam family "Bacterial large subunit ribosomal RNA", at positions 1514 to 1765 of the family's 2925-position model. Lineage: Bacteria; Pseudomonadati; Pseudomonadota; Gammaproteobacteria; Enterobacterales; Enterobacteriaceae. RNAcentral also lists the same sequence under 2 other names. The record is from RNAcentral.
AAGCGUGUAGGUGUGUGUUCCAGGUAAAUCCGGUUCACUUUAACACUGAGGCGUGAUGACGAGGCACUACGGUGCUGAAGCAACAAAUGCCCUGCUUCCAGGAAAAGCCUCUAAGCAUCAGGUAACACGAAAUCGUACCCCAAACCGACACAGGUGGUCAGGUAGAGAAUACCAAGGCGCUUGAGAGAACUCGGGUGAAGGAACUAGGCAAAAUGGUGCCGUAACUUCGGGAGAAGGCACGCUGACACGUAGGUGA